GACGAACGCUGGCGGCGUGCUUAACACAUGCAAGUCGAACGCUGAAGCUCAGCUUUUGUUGGGUGGAUGAGUGGCGAACGGGUGAGUAACACGUGAGUAACCUGCCCCCUUCUUUGGGAUAACGCCCGGAAACGGGUGCUAAUACUGGAUAUUCACUGGUCUUCGCAUGGGGGUUGGUGGAAAGGGUUUUUCUGGUGGGGGAUGGGCUCGCGGCCUAUCAGGUUGUUGGUGGGGUGAUGCCUACCAAGGCUUUGACGGGUAGCCGGCCUGAGAGGGUGCCCGGUCACAUGGGGACUGAGAUACGGCCCAGACUCCUACGGGAGGCAGCAGUGGGGAAUAUGGCACAAUGGGCGCAAGCCUGAUGCAGCGACGCCGCGUGAGGGAUGGAGGCCUUCGGGUUGUGAACCUCUUUCGCUCAUGGUCAAGCCGCAACAAUGGUUGUGGUGAGGGUAGUGGGUAAAGAAGCGCCGGCUAACUACGUG
This 482-nucleotide ribosomal RNA is filed under the name uncultured bacterium. RNAcentral's name for it is "partial 16S ribosomal RNA". It matches the Rfam family "Bacterial small subunit ribosomal RNA", at positions 28 to 507 of the family's 1533-position model. The record is from RNAcentral.